AAGGCAAUAGAAAGACAGCAAAUGGAAGAUGAAAGAACAAUCUGGUCGACAUAGGAAAGUAGCAACUUUGAAGCUACUAGGAUUUCUUCAUAUUCCUCGGCUUUGAAGUCGAGUUUUCCUCCUCCGCUUGAUGUAGCUGAUAUUAUAAAGGUCAAGAUCCGUACGUGAGUUUCAUUGCAGAUCCUAGCUCCCAUCUUCCAGAUCUUCUCAAAGAUAAGUAUCCUCUACUUUUCAUCCAAUCCUAGCUGUGUAAUAGCUUGAAACCUUAACUUGAUACCUAAACUUUGAUGAGCUUAUUGUGCUUACGAAAUCUUGGAACUGGACAGCCUUAUACUCCGAUUUGGUUUUGAGGUACGCUUCCCAAACUUAUGACUUAUGAAUCGGGUCUUCUAACUAAAUUUAACAUAGUUACUUAAGUAAACUGUGGAUCGAUUAUAUUUCAUCUCACCUAAAUCUCUGAACUGGUGUUGUGUAAUAGAUUCCACUGGAGUAUUACUCCAAGUACUUAAAGAUAUGUUAAAUUAAAUUAUAUAAAUCCCCAAUUUUAUCCAGCAAAUUAACAUUACUAAAAUGAAGUUUUACUUAUUCCUCUGUAAAGAAAUAAACCUCAUAGAGAUUAAUAUCACCCUUAUAUAAGUUUAAGCAAAGACUUCAAGACCUAGUUAUACUCAAUUGCACUGUUGUCAUGUUUAUGUAAACUUGGGUUUCUGUUUGAACUUUGUUCUAUAGUUGAGCUCCCCUGUCUGCUUACUUUACUAUUCUUGAGAGUUUUGAGAGACACUUAAAAAAUACCUGACUUAAUCUGGUGCUUAUUGAUUCAUUUUCAUGAUUCUAUGAUGUGGAAUCUGUUGCUUUUUAUGUAUUGUGAUUGCUUUGGCCCUUUUUGGCAACUCCAUGAAAUUGUUGAAAAUAGUUGUACCUGCAAAACUAAAACACCAGUCAGCUAAGAAGUUUGUCAGUGUAUUUUCUUCUCUGUAAGUGUGCUGUACUUUAAUUAAUUCCAACUCCAUCAUUUUUUGUAUUCUUUUUAUGAUUCGUCUUAUGGUCCAAGGGAUCUCCCAUUCCCCUUUUACUAUUUUGACCAAUCAAAAUGAGUCAGUUUCAAGCUCUAAAGGAACCGUAUGGUGCUCAACAUAGCAGCUGCACCUUUACUUCAUGGACAGUGCUUCUGCAUAAAUAUUAGUAUUUUCCUACAGCUGCCUACAUGAUGCAUAAACUAAAUCACCCUCAUCAUUUCUAAUACAGAAUGCUACUGAGAUUGAACUUGGAUUUCCUUUUGAAGUGCCAUAAAAAUUUCACUUAUACCAUUCUUGAUAAGUUUUUUUGUCAUGUAACUACCUCUAUUUGUACGCGUUGCAUGUACUUCUACAAACGUUCCACCAUCAAAGUCCAUUUGUUAGGUAAUUCCUUUAACCAUGAAUACCUAACUGGGGUAAAAAAAUGUAAAUUGUUAUCAAUCUCAUAAAUAACCCUAUGCAUUGACAUGAAACCUUCAUGAUUUAUUGUGUUUCUCUUUUUUCAUAACUACCAACAUAUUAAACCUGGGAUUGCCAGCGCAAUCGGUUUAAUCCUGUUAUUAAAUUUUAUAUUCCACCAUUUUAAGAAAGCCCGGUGACAUUGCAUAUAAAUGGUCUUUCAACACCUACACUCAUAGUAAUUCCACACUCUAGAAGCAAAGUUGCUCGAAAUAAAAAGAUGAUGUACUAUUUCUAGAUGUGGAGUGUCACAACAUCUGCAUCUUGAAACUAAAUUAACACCACAUCUUUGCAGUAUCUCAUCUAUAAAAAUCUCAAACUUUCAUAAAAAAUAAACUAAUCUUUAAUGGUACCCCUUUACACCAUAUAUACUUCCACUAAACCUCAACUUCCUUCCCGUGUCUAACUAAAUGAUAAGCACUAGACACAAUGAAUUUCCCAUUUAAUAUUAGCAUCCACCAAGGCAGGUCCCAUGGUGAUGCAUUUUGACCGAUAAGAAUAUUAUCUAUGCAGUGAUGAAUAAUGUUAGUGGGAAGCACUGACUGCAUUUUUGAGUAUCCCAUUUACCACCUGUAAUCAGCUUGUCAAUGUCACCUUCUUCUUUAUUGAGGGGGAAAUAAGGGUCAAAUCACAUAAUACAAAGCUCCCAACUUGGACCCAAUUGUCAAAUCAAAUAUUAGAAGAGCCUAUAGUUUUCUCCCACUAGAUUUCUUGCUCUAUGUUAUCCCUUGCCUCUAGCAUUUUCCUUCACACUUAAAAAUCUUUUUUCCAUUGAACUACUGUUAGAAUAAGUUUCUUACAGUAUUAUUCCAUAUACAGUCAGUUCUCAAAGACCUAGUAGUUCUAAAAAACCACUAUAACUUCGCAAACAUAGCCUUCGAUGUGUCAAAGAAAUCCCUGAAGCCCACACCUCCCUCUUUUUUUUUAGGGAAAUACAUCUUCUCCCAUAAUAACUAGUGCUUACUAUUUCCUUCCUCUUUAGUGCUUUAUAGAAACCUAUUAAAAAUCUUAGGCAGUUCAUAAAAAAUGCACUUUGAAGGCACCACAACUGAUAAUAAAUACAAAGGCAUACUUUGUAUAACACUGGUAAUUACGACUAUUUUUUCCCAAAAGAAAGUAAUUUUUUUUCCCAGUUCUGUAGCCUUUUCUUCACCUUCUUGAUGAGAGCAUUAUAAUAUUCUUUUCUUUUCCUUGCAUGAGUGUAGAACACCCCAAAUACUGGAAAGGAAAUUUUCCUGGUUAAAACCUGUUAUACCUUUACAUCAUUCAUAAAAAAUCCUGCAAAUAUAUUAUACAUGUAAAAAGGGCUUUUACUCUCAUUAAUUAACUACCCAGAGAUGCCCUGAUAUCCCUUCAAAACAUUCAUAAUUAAAUGUAAAGAAGUUUUAUCUGCAGAGGCAAAGGUUAUUGUAUCAUCUGCAUAUGGAAGAUGAUUUAGGUUCCUAUCUCUAUUUAGGCAGUCCAUAACCUUUAUACAUUCCAUCUUCAAACAAAGCAUUAAGGGACCUUUACUACACUCCAGGUGAUAGAAUAAAUAAAGUAGGUGACAGGAGAUCACCUUGUUUCAAUCCUCUCGUUGAGUGAAAAAACCUUAUGACUGUCCAUUGAUGAUGAUUGAAUACCAGCUGUUAGCCACGAAUCUCCAAAUCAUAUCUAUGAAUAUUUCUGCAAAAUCCAUUUUCCUCAUCACCCCUAGAUAAGUAAAACCAAGAAACUCUAUCAUAAGACUUAAACAUAUCCAAUUUCAAUACCACAUUAGCAGGUUUUUCUCUAAACCUAAUGUUUGAUACAAUCUCCUAUGUUAACAAAACAUUCUCAAUAAUGCUCCUUCCUUUAACAAAGCCUGACUGAUUACUAGAAAUUAAUUUUGGAAGUACUAAUUCUUGUCAUUCAUGAAUAACCCUUGAGAUUACCUUGUUAAUGAAAUUGCUCAGGCUGAUAGGUCUAACGUCUGAGAAAGUUUCUAUCAUCUCUUUUUUAGGUAUCAAAACUAAAUUAGUGCGAAUAAUACUUUUAGGAAGAGUAUUACCUUACCAAAAACUUCUUACUAACUGAAGAACAUCCUCUCCCACAAUAUCCCAACAUUGCUGAUAAAAUAACCCCAAGAAGACAUCAAGACCACAAGAGCUACUGCCAUUUAGAGAAAAUACUGCAAGUCCCACUUCUUCUAAUAUAGUCUCUGCCAUCAAUCUCUCAUUAUCCUUUUCACUCACGAUUUCUUUAAUAUGAUUUAACAAUUCAAAAUUUAUACCUUUCUCCUUCUGAGUAAACUUACCCUAGAAACAUUUGACUGCUUCCUCACCAAUUAAUUUGCUAUCUUCCAGCCAAAAACCUUUAUUAUUCUGUAUCUUGCUAAGUUGUAAUCUCUUUCUUCUCCCCUUCACAAGACUCUGAAAAAUAUUGUGUUUCUGUCAACCAACUUAAACCAAGUUAUCUGAGCUUUUAUUUUUCUAAAAUUGCUCUUUUAGGUGAAGGUACCUUUUUACUUCUGCUUGAGCCUGUUGUAGUAUACUACUAUUCUCUAGAGUAGGGUGUUCUUCAAAUAACUUCUCUUUAAUCUGCAUUAUUUCUUUUCUAAUAGCAAGCUAUUGAAAAAUAUCACCAUACUUAUCUCUACUCCAUUUAUUUCGAGUUUUUUUUUUUACAUUUUAUGGAUUAUAAUUGAACACCCAAAACUAUUACCUAUUUCCUCUGACCUCCAAUGCUGUCUUACCACUUCUUUGAAGGGGGGUUCUUCCACCCAAAAGGCAAGAAACGCAAAAGGUGUAACAACUUGUUGUGACAUUGUAUGCAUUGUAAGAAGCAGAGGAGCAUGAUCCGACCUAGUUCUAGGCAAGUGCUCCCAAUUUUGUAAAGCUGCAUUAGAGAACGCGCUAUCUAAUCUUUCAAAUAUACAAUCACUUCCUUCUCUACCAUUCUACCAAGUAUAUGGGCUUCCUUUGAAUGAUAUUUCAUCAAGCUCACAUGAAUUCACUCAAAGUGCAAAAUCCUUCAUCUCUUGAUGUAAGACCCCAUAAAAGUCCUAGUCUAAUUCAGUCCUAUAUAGCAUGAAAAGAGGUCCCAGACUUAGAAAAAUUCAGCUAAGUAUUGACACUUAGUUUCUUUUUGGGCUCGAUACAAUGACUUUAUUUUCGAUCUUUCCAGCCUUGGAUUAUCAAUCUUUUAGUUGAUUCAUGAUCAGGGAUGUUAAUAGGUCAUAACGGGUGAGUUUAAGAAUUUUUGGACUAGUGUAAGGGUGAGUUUGGAUGUCCAAAACAAUAAGGUCUCGCGAUAAGCUCACGACGCGAGAUCCAAUUGUCGUUUCUGGGAGUCGCAUCGUGAGGUCUAUUCCCCAUUUUUGGGUGUCGCAAUGCGAGGUCUAUUCCCUAUUUCUGGGAGUCACGAUGCGAGGUUCAUUCCCCAUUUCUGGGAGUCACGCCUCGAGGGUCAUUUACACGGGAAAAGAGGCCUAGGGGCAGUUAAGUCCUGUUUCCCUCACCCAAAUCAGCUAAAACACGAAAUUAAACACCAAAGAGGGCAAAUUGCAUUCAUUAUUCACUCAAUCCUCUCAAGAACAAGCCCUAGUUUCAUCAAGCUCAAGAAUCAAGUCUCAAGAAUUCACCACAAUCUUCACGAAAUUAAUAAUCAAGGUAUGUUAGUGUUCAUCCUUGGGUUUCCUUCCAUCCUUGGAGUUCAAGAACCCUUUAUAAAACUACGAUUUUAUUGAUUCAUGAAUUUGCAUAUGCAAAUUUGAGUUGUAUUCAUGCUUGUGUUGUAUGGGUUUCAAAUCAAUAUUUUGUUAUGAGUUUCAUGAACCUAAGAUAGCAUGUAGUUGAUUGAUGUAAUUCCCAUGUUACAAUCCUUGAAAUUGAAUGUUUAAGUUGUAGUCAUGAUGCUUAUGUGUUGUUCAUUAUUAUGUAUAACAAUCAUGCCCCCCAAGUGUUUGAUAGAAUGUCUAUGUGAAUUGAAUAAUUUAAUCAUGACAUGUUAGUGUGUGUUCUCAUUCAUGUUAGUUCAUGGCCUUCAAGUGUUUGGCAAAUUGCCUCGGUGAAUGAAUUGUGAACAAUUGACUAUUGCUAUGCUUUCAAGAAGUAAUACGUUUUACCUUUAUGCUAUUGAGUCCUAGGAGUAUUUAUUAUCCGAAUUCUAGUUGUUUACUUAGUCGCAGUAGAAAUAGAAUAGACCAGUAAAAAAAAAGGUCAAGAAUAGUAGUACCCAGUCAGUAACAGAAAUCAGUGAACUCAGUCCAGUUCAGUCAGUCAACACGAUCAGUGUCAGUUCAGUCAAGCUUAGAAAAAUCUAGUGACCAGUGUCUAUUAAGUUGGGAGUAGGAUUCAACAUCGAGCGAACCCAAGGAUGGGGGCAUUCCUUCCAGCAGAGGGUUUGACCCUUAGUAGCAGUCCCUGCAUUAAAGAACUACGUAGCUAGCGUAGGGUAAGAUGUCCUUCUGCCAAACUAGGGUUGACGCAACCGUAUAUAUAAUUCAUGAGUCUUCCUAUCAGAUUAGGGUUGACCCAGCAUUGUUAGUAUCCCUUGUCAAGGUGCUAACAUCUUUCCAACUUGGACCACAGGUUGGACCCUAACUCAGUUUAUAAUCGGGAUAUGUCGGUUAGAGAAACACCCCCACAGUUACAAUUUAGUUUUAGACUCAGGAUAUAACUUAGUUCAGUUCUACAAAAUCAGGACUGUCAGAAAUAGUCACCCAGUUAUCAGUAAUACAGUUAUCAGUAAACUCAGAUAUCAGUUACUCAAUUAUUAGAACUCAGAACUAAGUAUUCAGUUUCAGUAUGAUCUCAGUUACAGUAUACAAGUGUAUGCACAGUCUUGAAUAAUCAGUAUGUACAAUAGUUUCAGUUGCCCAUGUACUCUCAUUCAGUUAUAUAUAUAUAUGUGUAUAUAUAUAUAUAUAUCAUUUAGUCAAUCAUUGUUCAUGCAUAUGAACCCAUGUAUAUCAACCUACCUCACUUAGCAUACCAGUAAAUUCAAACUACUGACACAUACUCUUUCUUUUGCACAUUGAUGUCUCAUAUCAUAGGUUCAGACGCACAGGCUCCUGACCAUACUUAACAGCUCAGGUUAUCAGCAAUAGAUAUAGUGGAUUAUUCCCAAUUUGAUGAGUGACUAUGUCAUGAAGUGCCUUUGUGGGACUAAUCUUCACCGAACCAGGUUCAAGCUGCUGCAAAACUUAGUCUGGUAUAGCAUGCUCCGUAUGAACCUUAUCAAUAUCACCUGGUGGUCCACCCUACAACUCUGAAAUUCUACGGGCUAUAUGGAGUCUGCCCUUAACUCGGCAGCCAAGCCCCGAACCCAAGUUUGCCGCAAGGGUUGGAGUCUCUAUCUCUAAUACGCUACAGGGCACUAGGCUAGCGUAUAAGCCCUCUAGGGGAUGUAAUAACCCGUAUCGGCAAAACACGGUUUCGGGCAAUGAGUUAUCUGAACUCGUUCCUUCUUCGGGAAUUCUUAAAUGGUGGAAAAGAGCCAACUUUUCUUGAGAUAUUCGAAGAGGCUCAUAAGAAGAAAAAGAAGGACAAGUACAAGAGAAGAUUGAGUCAAAACAUGCGUUAAGGAUGCAUAUGAUUUCAAAAAAGCAUAGAAGAUUGGUAUCAAACCAAACCUACUUCAGAGGAUGGUACCAUGGUCCAACCAUCACCUGCAGAUAUGACUAACAUGUAGACAGCUGCGGUAGGUGGUUCAAAGAAAGGUAGAACCUACGGUGUGUGGUUCUCCAAUCCUCAAGUAGUCCUUCGUUGUUUCCCAAUUUCUCUUCUACUUUACAAAUUAUGGAAUAAAUGGAAGCGAUGAGAAAGUAAAUUGCAGAGUUGAUGCAACAAUGAGCAACGAAUGAUGCUAAGUUUGUCAAGUUUGCUAAAUUUGAGGAGUUGGUCAAGAAGCACAUGCCUCAAGUAUCUGAUGAUGAGGAAGAGGAACUUGAUGAUUAUUAGAUUGUAGUUCUUGUUUUUGGUUGUGACUUUUAGACUUUAAGUUCUCAUGGGAUGUUUAACUAUUUGACUCGAUGUUUGUUUUGGAUUGUAAUGUUAUUAAGACUUAAAGUUCUCUUGAGA
Long non-coding RNA from Capsicum annuum, 7516 nucleotides. RefSeq lists it as uncharacterized. The record is from RefSeq and is a predicted model, not a curated record. Lineage: Eukaryota; Viridiplantae; Streptophyta; Magnoliopsida; Solanales; Solanaceae. The transcript is spliced from 5 exons.